AUUUCCUCAUUUAUCGUAAAAUUCAAGAGCUUAAGAUGUUUCGACCAAAAAAAAAAAAAAAAAGCCUUAAGACGUAACUCUCUUGCAAUAGCACUGUCUUGAGGUGCAAAUUUGAUCGCCUUUAGAAAGUCUUCCCGCGCAGCAUCUGUCUAGGCCCCUGUUUGGUUUCGGAGAAAAUCACAAGCUCAAAUUUACUCGCACAUUUUCUCAAUUUUUGUGUUGGAAUUGAUACGUUGCAGUGAAGGAGGUUAUCGAGAAGGUUCUGGCUGGGCUGAUACGGCCUCAUUUCGUUAUGGCUAAUAUUGGAAGUGGGUUUGGAUUGUAUGACAUCUCCAAGUUUGUUUGUGUUCUUGCUCAUAUAAACCCCUUAAUCUUAAUUAUUAUAUCUGAUCACGAACCUAUUCGGUGAUCAAUCUGAAGAGGAAGAGGAAGAGGGCAAUUCCGAGCACGAGCCCAAUCCACAGCCCAAUUCUGCCUGCGGGAGCAGCGAGAGAACUUUCCACCAUUGGAAAACUGGUGGGUGCAUUCCAGCAAGUCGUAUUCCUCUUUUCUCUUUUGAUCCACUUGCCCGGGAGGUAGUAUUCCGGUUACGGCUACGAAGUUUGCCCAUUCGACUGCAAGAAGAGGGAGAAGAAGCUUCGUAGUGGCAUUCCUCCGACGAGCUACCGAACUCCUAACCGAAUAAUAAAGCCGAUCUCGAGAAGGCUAGGUUUGGAACCCUCUAGGAACUGAAUCGCUAGAAAGAUCUCUUCUUUCGUUUAAACCUAGUGGGCCCUAAACCUAAGCUUUGAUCGCUGCGCUCCCCCCUUAUUGUGGAUGAUGCUAUCUGCGCUGUUGAAGGUGCCACAUUGAAAGCUGAGAUGAGUGGAAAGAAGCUAAUGCACUCACGGAACAACUUAAGCUCAAGCCUCAACUUCAGACAUUUCAAGUGUGGCUUUGCGAGGAUGAGGAGGAUAAUGAAGUGGUUAAGCUGCCCCUACUUAUUUAGUAACAAAGGCAGCUGCCCCUACUUAUUUAGUAACAGAGGCAUAAACAAAGGCAGCUGCCCCUACUUAUUUAGUAACAGAGGAUGAGGAGGAUAAUGAAGUGGUUAAGCUGGAUACGGUGCAUAUGAGUAUGAGUCAGAAUUUUAAGAAUAAAGUAAAAGCAUCGCUGUGACACCGACCGAUAUGGUGGAUUCAGCAGAAGAUGGUCGGUGGACUGCCAGAGAAUCCAGAGAAGUGGCACCGGGUGAUGCAGAACCUAUUUGGUGAUCAAUCUGAAAAGCAAGAGGAAGAGGUCGAUUCCGAGCACGAGUCCAAUCCCCAUCCCAAUUCUGACUAUAAGAAGAAAAUGGCUCAAUUACGAGCAGGGAAGAGUAGCAAGAGCAAACUUACAAUUGUAAAGUACAAGACUCCGGAGUCAGUGGAUGGAUGGGAAGUUCGUCAGGGGACUUACUUUCAGGAUGUGGUUGCUUCUAAGUAUGAUGGAGGAAUGGAUGCCAAGUUCGAAUUCACUUUCACCGGAGAUGCUGUUUUCUCCGGUAAGAGAAAGACUAAAGUGGGGUUUUGAGGUUCUAAAUGGAAACCAACUAUUAUUCCUUUUACUCUAUUUCUUGCUGCAUUGUAGGAUAAGUUUUCGCCAGACGAGGGUACUAACCUAAAAGCAGCUUCCCAAAAACAAAUUCAUGAUGCCAAAGAACCGCAUGGAAGAUUUCUAUGUGAAUGUCAAGGUCCGUACUUUUCCCUUUUUGGUUCUUGGCAAUACAAGCAUCUUCAGCUUUUUAAAAAUAAACCUAUCACAUGUUAUAAGUAUGAACUGGUGUGGGUGAAUAAUGGGUAGAUGAAUAAAAGGAAUGAAGAAAAAUAUUAGAAAACAUUCGGUAUGUUUGAAGAAUUUGUUUUUACUUAGGGAGACCAUUUGAUUGCUAAGGAAAUCGAGGAAAAGAAAACAAAGAAACUAACUGGGAGUUGUCUGAGUUGUUUAUAGAUACGGGACAUAGAAAAAACAACAAAUAUUUUUGUUUUUGUAAUGGCUGUCAUGAAUUUCCUUUUGACUAAACAAAACAUAAUUAGUUUAUUUGCUUUACUGAGAUAUUUGUGUCCCGAGCCAUAUCCAAAGUUGAUUUUGGACUUUCUUCGAUCUUAGAAUAUUUGGUUACUUUAGUGCAUUGACAAUUAAUAGACAUAAUUUUUUUUUAUUAUCAUUAUUUGUGUAUAAUUAUGCAACUUGUACGUUAUAACUUGACAAAGGUGAUUUUGCUUCCCAUACAUCAACAAAUAUUAAAAAGAAAUAUUUAAUGAGGGCUGGAACCCAGUCGAAGCUAGGAGGCUAGGCCCUCACGCCCAUAUUAUAUUAUUUAAAGAAAAAACAUACAACGAGGGGACAUAGUACUUAAAACCCCGACGAUCAAAACUAAAAUCAUAUACAACCACUUCAAGCAAUCAACAUGGCCCUUACAUAUUGAAUC
Molecule: RNA transcript, 2449 nt
Organism: Pyrus x bretschneideri (Chinese white pear)
Lineage: Eukaryota; Viridiplantae; Streptophyta; Magnoliopsida; Rosales; Rosaceae
Gene name: protein HIGH CHLOROPHYLL FLUORESCENCE PHENOTYPE 173, chloroplastic-like
Exons: 6
Source: RefSeq, a predicted model, not a curated record